UACGUAGGGGGCUAGCGUUGUCCGGAAUCAUUGGGCGUAAAGCGCGUGUAGGCGGUUCGGUAAGUCCGCUGUGAAAGUCGGGGGCUCAACCCUCGGAAGCCGGUGGAUACUGUCGAGCUAGAGUACGGAAGAGGCGAGUGGAAUUCCUGGUGUAGCGGUGAAAUGCGCAGAUAUCAGGAGGAACACCAAUUGCGAAGGCAGCUCGCUGGGACGUUACUGACGCUGAGACGCGAAAGCGUGGGGAGCAAACGGG
This 253-nucleotide ribosomal RNA is filed under the name uncultured bacterium. Its description in RNAcentral is "partial 16S ribosomal RNA". It matches the Rfam family "Bacterial small subunit ribosomal RNA", at positions 524 to 776 of the family's 1533-position model. The record is from RNAcentral.